This is a long non-coding RNA of Zalophus californianus (California sea lion), 2820 nucleotides long. RefSeq lists it as uncharacterized. Lineage: Eukaryota; Metazoa; Chordata; Mammalia; Carnivora; Otariidae. The record is from RefSeq and is a predicted model, not a curated record. The transcript is spliced from 5 exons.
UGGAAGCCCACUGGCGGUCUGUGAUGGGGCCUAAUAAUUAACAGCGCCUAAGAAUUCGGGUUCUUUCAACUUCUGACCCUGUGUCCUAACUCCAGGCGUUGGAGGUGCUGUAAGCAGACAGGAGAAAGAAUCACGUGGAGGGCAAUAGAAUUCCAGAGCUGGUAAAUGCCGAUAAAAAUGAAGUUCCCAGACCUCUUUUUUUCUUGCACGUGGAAAUGCAGAUGCAGUUAUGGCUGGUAGAGCUUGUAUCACUUUGGACCUGAUGGAUAAAGAAAGGAGCCAUAUGCCUCCAGAAGACUGUUCCCUUGAUCAUAAGAGAGAACAUUUGAAGGACCAUUCAAGCAAGAUCCUGAGGAAUUUUGCUGCACCUGUGCUGCCCCUGUCCUGGGCCAUCCUGUUAGCCAGAAGCUGGGCCAGAGUUGGUUUCUCCAGUUGCUGAUCUUGGUGCUUUGUAAAGACUGAGAAGUUGUCAGAUGAAAUUGGUUUCCCAGUCAUAUGUGGUAGCCAAAGAGGCAACCAGUUUCGUGUCAAGCAUCGAUGUGUAUAAUUAAGAUACUGGCUCUCCUGAUGUCUCUUGCUCCUGAAGUAGGGAUUAGGGGGUUUUUGGCACAUCCACAAAGAUGUCCAAUGGAAUCAGUGUGUGGAAGGAGGACUUUCACUUUUGCCCUUUAACUCCCUUCUCUCUGGAACAUGGACAGCGUCCUAGAAAUGGAGCAGAGCCUUGCAACCAUGAGCCUGAGAGCUUUGGGCUAGCAAUUUUGGACCAUAAAAGGUGCCUGGGAACUUGACGGGGCCACGUGACUAUUACUCACCUUCCAGAAUACCUGCCUCCAGAUUCCUGUUUGGUGGGCUACACCAACCAGGAUUCUAGGACAUGAGUUGGAAUCCAAUCCCUCAAUGAUCAUGGAAGACACCUAACAGAACAUCAGCAAAUGUUUUUUUAAACUCAACUGAUUGACUGAUCCCAUAAACACUCAAGAGAUCCAAUAGAGAGACGGAGUCAAGGCCAGCAAGAAACAGCACCGAAAGGAAUGGUGAUUUAUAUUUCUAAUGUACACUUAAAAAGAUCACUCUGAUUAUAGAACUGGUGAAUAUUUAUCGUAGAAGAUUUUUAAAAUAAAGGAAGAAAUAAAGAAUAUAAAAACAAUGUAUAAACCCACCACCCCAAAAUAACCAUUUUAAACAAUUCUGAGCAUUUCAGAUCUUUUUCUAUACAUAGGCACCAGUCUGUCUGUCUGUCUAUGCAUCCAAAUUAUGCUUACGAGGGAAUGUGGAUUAUAGUGAAAAAGUGAUUUUGUACCCUCCUCCAUUUAAGGAUAUAUUCUUUCAUUCACCACAUGUUUAGAGGGCUUAAUAUCAUGUACCAGGCACUGUUUUAAGUUCUAGGGAUACAUUAGUAUCUUGAAUGUUUUCCUGAAAACUUGAUAUUUAAUGACUUAUUAAUAUUUCAUAUUUUAGGUUAACUAUAAUUCAUUUGACAAAUUCCUGGCUGUUGUAGUUAUCAUUUCACACUAUUAUUAGUAAUUUCUGCAGUGAGUACCCUCAUUCAUGAAUCUUUGUGUUCUUCUCUGAUCAUUCACUUAGGAUAGAAGGGAAGUUAUAUCAGAUUAUAAAGCAUAAACUGUUCACAAAGUUGUUUAGAGAUGCUUCUACAAAAGCAGAUUAUACAAAUAGUAAUAUACAAAUAUUUUAUAAGAAUAAUAUACAAUAAUAUUCAUAAUAAUUCACGAACCCAGGUCCCCAGUAGUGCAUGAGAGUACCCAUCCUGCCACCUCAGUGGUGUUAACUUGUAUUUCAUUGUUAAAUAUCUUUGUAUAUUGCCUCAUAUUAGAAUCUGUUUAUUCUAGUAGGUCUAAUGUCACACUUGUAUAUAAAUAUGUAAUCUUUGUUUUUCCAUUAAUUUUUGUUGAUUUUCACUCAUUGUGACCAUUCAGAAAAUACAGAUUUUAAAGGAAACCCCUGAAACCUAUUUUUAAGGAUUUUCUUUUGAGGAGAAAGUUAUAUUGUAGCCUACUGGCAAAGUCCUGGGGCUUUCAAAAUGGUUUCUUGCUAGUUGCUUUCCUUGGUUAACAUAUUCAGUUCAGGUGCUCACAUUUAGUGGAGGUACAUUAAACAAGGUAGAUGUUCGGUGAAAGUCAAGUGUCCUUCAAAGAGUAAUAACAGCAUCCCAGGGGCUCCCUUUGAGUGUGAAACCUUCUCUGAGACUCAGCAUAAUAAUUUGUUGGGAGAAUCUUCAUGGAAAAAAAAAAAAAAAUCCGGCUUAACGUAGAUCAGCAUAUGACAGUACUGUCCAUGGUGGAAUACUAUCUCUGUUUUUAGACAUAUGCAUGGAAAAGGUCCAGUUGUUGUCGUAAAAAACAAUUUUAAUCCCAAUCACUAAUAAAAUGCUCAUAUUUUGAAGGCAAAUUACCAACUUAUUGAAAGGAAGACACAUCCAAGGACAAGAAAUGUCAUUCAUCAAGAAUUUCUAAGUGUUAAUGUGGUCUAAAUGGAAUGGUAUUUAGUUUAAUUAAAGGAAACUAAAAAAAAAAAAAUUUGUUUAUUCGUCAUCUAGGAAGGUCACCAUGUAGACAACAUAAUAAGAAAUUAAAGGGAGGUCAGCUGGUCUCAAAAGCAAAGCAUCGUUACUUUUGGUACAAAAGGUUGGGCUAGUGGAUGACUCCAUGUUUGGAGUGACUCUGAGUCUAGCUGUACAGUUUCUUGUUAUUGGCUCUUUUUUACCCCAUAGUUUGCUUCUUUGCUUCCCAUGAACACACAUGCCUUAUUUUUUUUAAAGAUUUUAUUUACUUAUUUGCCAGAGAGAGAGAGAGAGAGCACAAG